AAAUUGAAGAGUUUGAUCAUGGCUCAGAUUGAACGCUGGCGGCAGGCCUAACACAUGCAAGUCGAACGGUAACAGGAAGAAGCUUGCUUCUUUGCUAACGAGUGGCGGACGGGUGAGUAAUGUCUGGGAAACUGCCUGAUGGAGGGGGAUAACUACUGGAAACGGUAGCUAAUACCGCAUAACGUCGCAAGACCAAAGAGGGGGACCUUCGGGCCUCUUGCCAUCGGAUGUGCCCAGAUGGGAUUAGCUUGUUGGUGGGGUAACGGCUCACCAAGGCGACGAUCCCUAGCUGGUCUGAGAGGAUGACCAGCCACACUGGAACUGAGACACGGUCCAGACUCCUACGGGAGGCAGCAGUGGGGAAUAUUGCACAAUGGGCGCAAGCCUGAUGCAGCCAUGCCGCGUGUAUGAAGAAGGCCUUCGGGUUGUAAAGUACUUUCAGCGGGGAGGAAGGGAGUAAAGUUAAUACCUUU
This 473-nucleotide ribosomal RNA is filed under the name Escherichia coli. RNAcentral describes it as "bacterial SSU rRNA". It matches the Rfam family "Bacterial small subunit ribosomal RNA", at positions 1 to 470 of the family's 1533-position model. The record is from RNAcentral. Lineage: Bacteria; Pseudomonadati; Pseudomonadota; Gammaproteobacteria; Enterobacterales; Enterobacteriaceae.